Molecule: long non-coding RNA, 1345 nt
Organism: Lathyrus oleraceus (garden pea)
Lineage: Eukaryota; Viridiplantae; Streptophyta; Magnoliopsida; Fabales; Fabaceae
Exons: 2
Source: RefSeq, a predicted model, not a curated record
UCAAAGUUAAUAUUCACAAUUAACAAUCAAUUAAUAUCCUCAAUUAACAAAUCAAGAUCUAAAGUUAUCUAACUAUCCUAAUUAAAACCUAAUAUUAAUCUAAAUUAUGAUUAAUUAACAAAUUAUAACAACAAAAAGAGGAUAAUGGAUCAAAUAGAGAAAAAGGAAUGGGCCUUGGGGAGAAAGAAUGAAAGGCCCACUCGUAGGGGGGUAAACGGUCCAUGGAGGGAGUGUGCGAACCAGAGUUCACUUUGGGCUUCAUAGACGCUCAAGGGCCAAUCCGUUGGAUACGAGGGCCCUGGAAAUCCCAACAUCUUCAACACCUGCUCAGUGACACAGAGGGAGAGAAAAGGGAAAAACAAGAAAGACGAAAGCCGACACGCUCAAAAGCUCCCCGCGCCGGAGAUCUUCGUCGGCGGCGGCGGAGUACAACCUAAUCCAAAGCUCGAUCUGCUCUCUCUCACCUCAACCGAAUUCAUAAACAAACUUCUCAUCUCACAUAGAAAUCAAGAAACGCUAGUAAAUCUUACGCUAAACCUCCUCUUCAAACCAAAAUCUCGCGAUAUGAAUAUAUUGAUGGAAGAAGUGCAUUACCGUACGCGUCGUCAAAUGCUUAGUGUUCUUCAAUCACCGCGCGUCGCAUCCGAAAGUGAAGGCUCCAUUUGAAUCGUCGUGGCGUUCAAAUUCCGUGCUCACUCUUGCUAACCGAAUUGAAGUGGAGCGUUGAUGCCGGUGAAGUUGGUGGUGGUGUAUUAGAUUGGUUGCGGUGGAAACGGUGGUUGGUUGAAGGUUUUGGUUGUGGAGGUUUAGCAGGUUGAAGAAGAAGGAGGUGAAAGAGUUCGUUAUUGGCGGUGGUUAGGAUUUCAAAAGAGAGGGGGAGCGCGCGGAGCGGAGAGGAUCACGGUGUUGAUGAAGAUUGCGAUGGAGGAAAAAAGUUUGUUACGGUUGCUCUCGGUGGUGGAAAUAACAGAGAAUGGAGGAAGAAAUUCCGCAGAAGAGAAAAAAAAAUCCCUCUCCUCUUCACUGCUUGCGUUCUUAUAGCUUUUUGUUCAUCUGCGUUUUGCUUUCAUUUUCUACAACAGCUUUUGCAUGCCGUUUACGGCAACUGCUGUCGUUUAUGCUGUUAAGCUGCAUUUUUGAACUGGUGUUGCAGCAGCUUAUGCAGUUUGGCUUUGGUGUUAGCGAUUUGCCGUUGAUGGCUUUAGGUUCGUCGUUUGGAUUACGUUUUUGUGAGCUGCGUUUUUACUUGGCUUCGGUUGCAGCUGUUGUAAGUAGUUUGAGCUGUUAUGGAAUUUGUGUGGCAGCAGCUUUUUGUUGUUUAUCUUAUGCAGCUCAUUUUAAUUCA